This is a long non-coding RNA of Humulus lupulus (European hop), 1148 nucleotides long. RefSeq lists it as uncharacterized. The record is from RefSeq and is a predicted model, not a curated record. The transcript has 3 exons. Lineage: Eukaryota; Viridiplantae; Streptophyta; Magnoliopsida; Rosales; Cannabaceae.
ACCAACGGUAUGUUAAUUGACAUCAUAAUUGUGGUUUGGUUUUUUCUUUGUUGGUAGAAGAAUGAAGUUUUGUUAACAUAUAUAUAUAUAUAUAUAUGUGGUGGGUGUUUUUGUUGAGUGCAGGGUUAGACUUUUUUUAAUUGUAAAAACUUGGUGCUGAGAAAUCUGAGUAUAAAAGACUCACAGCAGAUGCAAGUAAUGUUUGUGAACUGCAACACAGUGAUGGCUUCUCAUCUCACAGUAACUGCACCAGCCCAUAGUCCUAACACUGAUGGAAUCCAUGUAACACACACUCAGAACAUUGACAUCUCUAACUGUGUCAUUGACUCAUUGGAACAGGAGAUCAUUGCAUAUCUACUGUGAGCGGAUCCAAAAAUGUGACAGCCACAGACAUCACUUGUGGACCAGGUCAUGGAAUUAGUGUUGGAAGUUUGGGAUCUGGAAACUCUGAAGCCCAUGUUCCUGAUGUAUUCGUCCGCAGAGCUAAGUUUUAUAAAACCUCCAAUGGAGUUAGGAUUAAGACUUGGCAGGUACACCAUAUAUAUAUACUGAGAGAAGGGGGGCUAGUGUGAGGGAGGCGAGAAGAGAAGAAGAGCUGGUGGUGGUGGAGGCGGCUGCUGAGUGAGGGAGGCCGUGCGUGAGUGAGAGUGAAAGAGAAGAAGAAAAGAAAUAAAUAUUGUUUUUACUUAUUUUUCAGAUUUUAAUUUUCUUUUUUAAUUUUUGGUCGGGUUCCCGAAAUGACUAAAUUUUAAACCCAAAUCUGACAUAUGUCAAUCCAACCGCACAUAUGUCGGGUUCGGAUCGGAUUAAACCCGAAAUGAAUGAAUUUUCUGAAAAUUCAAGUUCUCAGAGUUCGAAUCAGGCAGAUUUUGCGGGCGAAAUGUUCACUCUAGUGUUAAUAAGUAAUAACCUUACAAAUGGUGGAAAACAACAUGAAUCUAUCUAAAAAAAAACAACACCUGCAAUGAUAAGCUCAUUUUCGGCCCAAUCUCUCUUUGUCUUCUACUUAAUCCUAAUGCUUCUUAGCCCAAGAAAAAGAUUAGGGAAUUACAAAAAUAUAUGCAAUUUGUAAAAAUGUUUGGAAAAAAUAAUUAAGAUAAUACUUGUAUUUUUUUUACAAAAAUAUGGAGUGGAAAAAUCUUAAAUGA